Molecule: long non-coding RNA, 344 nt
Organism: Nycticebus coucang (slow loris)
Lineage: Eukaryota; Metazoa; Chordata; Mammalia; Primates; Lorisidae
Exons: 2
Source: RefSeq, a predicted model, not a curated record
AGAAGCUUGAAUCAUCUUUUUCUUAGAACACAUAAAUAAUAAUAUGUUUUACUACCUACAGGGAUAUUUUUAUUGAACCAUGGGAUCCCAUUGUAUAAAACUAACUUUGCUUCAGGGCAUUAUGAGAAAGCACUGCUAGCUCUCUGUGCUGGGGAUGUGGAAGACUACUAAAUGAAGAGGAGGGUCUGAGGGACUAUUCACUCCCAUUCAUCAACACAUCCAAAUGGAGAUUUUCUGACAAAUUUCAGUUAUAACCAGCAGCAUAAUGAAACUAUAGAAUCAUACUACUCUCUCUUUUUUGUGAAGUUAUUCUAAGCUAAAAAUAAAAAUUAUCAAUGAAAGUA